AAUGAAUUUCAAAACUAGGGUGGAAUUACGGCUGCAGUUAUCUAUGUAGAAAAGACUCUUUUCUACGUAGAAAAGAUUCUUUUCUAUAUA
Long non-coding RNA from Bradysia coprophila, 90 nucleotides. The record is from RefSeq and is a predicted model, not a curated record. NCBI's taxonomy places the organism in Eukaryota, Metazoa, Arthropoda, Insecta, Diptera, Sciaridae.